RNAcentral lists this ribosomal RNA (492 nucleotides) under uncultured bacterium. RNAcentral describes it as "partial 16S ribosomal RNA". It matches the Rfam family "Bacterial small subunit ribosomal RNA", at positions 29 to 507 of the family's 1533-position model. The record is from RNAcentral.
AGUGAACGCUGGCGGUAGGCCUAACACAUGCAAGUCGAACGGCAGCACAGUAAGAGCUUGCUCUUACGGGUGGCGAGUGGCGGACGGGUGAGGAAUACAUCGGAAUCUACUUUUUCGUGGGGGAUAACGUAGGGAAACUUACGCUAAUACCGCAUAUGACCUACGGGUGAAAGCAGGGGAUCUUCGGACCUUGCGCGAUUGAAUGAGCCGAUGUCGGAUUAGUUAGUUGGCGGGGUAAAGGCCCACCAAGGCGACGAUCCGUAGCCGGUCUGGGAGGAGGAUCGGCCACACUGGAACUGAAACACGGUCCAGACUCCUACGGGAGGCAGCAGUGGGGAAUAUUGGACAAUGGGCGCAAGCCUGAUCCAGCCAUACCGCGUGGGUGAAGAAGGCCUUCGGUUUGUAAAGCCCUUUUGUUGGGAAAGAAAAGCAGCAGGUUAAUACCCCGCUGGUCUGACGGUACCCAAAGAAUAAGCACCGGCUAACUUCGUG